GGGAGUGAGCUGUAAUGACGGAGCACACAAACGCAUUGGGCGCCCUCAGACCUGAACACACAGGUUAGCACCACCUGCCUGGCUGACCCGGCUCACAGUUGAGAAUAACUCAUCCAGGGUUAUUGAAUGGUAGAGGAUCUUUCAAAAUCAACAGCUAGAAAGUCGAGGACCCUUCAUGCCACACUAAGAAGUUCCAUGCUAGGCAAAGAAGAAUGACAAGGUAUUUCAACAGGUGAAUGAUGAGCCACCGACUGCUUCUCUCCCCUGAACACAUGCUGUCCUCAUCCCUUGCAGUGCUGGUGCAGAAGGGUUCUCUUUCACCAGAGAUGAUAAGAUUUUGGAAGCAUGGAUACGUUGACUGGACAGAUCCCCACAGAGAAUCCAGAAACAAAACUGAGACUGAAGACCACAGAUCAGAUGCUCAAAAAGACAGAGGUCUGGAGUAAGAGGCAUCAAAUGAUAAUUCAAGGUAAAUAUACAGAUUUUUUAGGGAAAAACUUACAUCCUUCAGUCAAUUAAGCAUGCAAAAGAAAAAGUAUACAGAAUGG
Molecule: long non-coding RNA, 548 nt
Filed under: Cercocebus atys (sooty mangabey)
Lineage: Eukaryota; Metazoa; Chordata; Mammalia; Primates; Cercopithecidae
Description: lncRNA (ENSCATG00000045507.1)
Source: RNAcentral